Molecule: ribosomal RNA, 253 nt
Filed under: uncultured bacterium
Lineage: Bacteria
Description: partial 16S ribosomal RNA
Rfam family: Bacterial small subunit ribosomal RNA
Source: RNAcentral
UACGUAGGGGGCUAGCGUUGUCCGGAUUUAUUGGGCGUAAAGAGCGUGUAGGCGGCCAGGCAGGUCCGCUGUGAAAACUCGAGGCUCAACCUCGAGAUGUCGGCGGAAACCAUCUGGCUAGAGUCCGGAAGAGGAGAGUGGAAUUCCUGGUGUAGCGGUGAAAUGCGCAGAUAUCAGGAAGAACACCCGUGGCGAAGGCGGCUCUCUGGGACGGUACUGACGCUGAGACGCGAAAGCGUGGGGAGCGAACAGG